UGGUGGAGCGAUUUGUCUGGUUAAUUCCGUUAACGAACGAGACCACAGCCUACUAAUUAGUUGGUAUAAAGUUUCUUUGUAUCAUACUUCUUAGAGGGACUAUCGGAUUUAAGCCGGUGGAAGGGUGUGGCAAUAACA
RNAcentral lists this ribosomal RNA (138 nucleotides) under uncultured eukaryote. RNAcentral's name for it is "partial 18S ribosomal RNA". It matches the Rfam family "Eukaryotic small subunit ribosomal RNA", at positions 1299 to 1458 of the family's 1831-position model. The record is from RNAcentral.